GGAGGAUAUAGCUUAGUGGUAGAGCACAUGCUUAGAAAGCAUGAGGCCCUGGGUUAAAUCCCUAGUAUCUCUG
Camelus dromedarius (Arabian camel) is the source of this 73-nucleotide non-coding RNA. Lineage: Eukaryota; Metazoa; Chordata; Mammalia; Artiodactyla; Camelidae. The record is from the annotation of a RefSeq genome assembly.